RNAcentral lists this unclassified non-coding RNA (242 nucleotides) under uncultured fungus. Its description in RNAcentral is "sequence contains ITS2". The stretch from base 1 to 52 matches the Rfam family "5.8S ribosomal RNA", at positions 103 to 154 of the family's 154-position model. The record is from RNAcentral. Lineage: Eukaryota; Fungi.
AACGCACAUUGCGCCCCUUGGUAUUCCGAGGGGCAUGCCUGUUCGAGCGUCAUUACAACCCUCAAGCACUGCUUGGUGUUAGGCUCCGCUGGUUUCAGCGGGCCUUAAAGUCAGUGGCAGCGCCGUCUGAGCUCUGAGCGUAGUAAAUCUCCUCGCUAUAGAGACCAGGUGGUCCCUCGCCAUCAACCCCCCAACUUCCUAAGUUUGACCUCGGAUCAGGUAGGGAUACCCGCUGAACUUAA